GAUGAACGCUAGCUACAGGCUUAACACAUGCAAGUCGAGGGGCAGCAUGGAAGAAGCUUGCUUCUUCUGAUGGCGACCGGCGCACGGGUGCGUAACGCGUAUCAAACCUGCCUCAUACUCGGGGAUAGCCUUGCGAAAGUAAGAUUAAUACCCGAUGUUGUUGCUUUCUCGCAUGGGAGAGUAACUAAAGAUUUAUCGGUAUGAGAUGGUGAUGCGUCCGAUUAGGUAGUAGGCGGGGUAACGGCCCACCUAGCCUUCGAUCGGUAGGGGUUCUGAGAGGAAGGUCCCCCACACUGGAACUGAGACACGGUCCAGACUCCUACGGGAGGCAGCAGUGAGGAAUAUUGGUCAAUGGGCGAGAGCCUGAACCAGCCAAGUAGCGUGCAGGAUGACGGCCCUCCGGGUUGUAAACUGCUUUUAGUUGGGAAUAAAAAAAAGGGACUUGUCCCUUCUUGUAUGUACCUUCAGAAAAAGGACCGGCUAAUUCCGUGCCAGCAGCCGCGGUAAUACGGAAGGUCCAGGCGUUAUCCGGAUUUAUUGGGUUUAAAGGGAGCGUAGGCGGAUUGUUAAGUCAGCGGUUAAAGGGUGUGGCUCAACCAUGCAUUGCCGUUGAAACUGGCGAUCUUGAGUGCAGACAGGGAUGCCGGAAUUCGUGGUGUAGCGGUGAAAUGCUUAGAUAUCACGAAGAACUCCGAUCGCGAAGGCAGGUGUCCGGGCUGCAACUGACGCUGAGGCUCGAAAGUGUGGGUAUCAAACAGG
Molecule: ribosomal RNA, 759 nt
Filed under: uncultured Prevotella sp.
Lineage: Bacteria; Pseudomonadati; Bacteroidota; Bacteroidia; Bacteroidales; Prevotellaceae
Description: bacterial SSU rRNA
Rfam family: Bacterial small subunit ribosomal RNA
Source: RNAcentral